This 410-nucleotide ribosomal RNA is filed under the name uncultured bacterium. Its description in RNAcentral is "bacterial SSU rRNA". It matches the Rfam family "Bacterial small subunit ribosomal RNA", at positions 355 to 776 of the family's 1533-position model. The record is from RNAcentral.
UGGGGAAUAUUGCACAAUGGGCGGAAGCCUGAUGCAGCAACGCCGCGUGCGGGAUGACGGCCUUCGGGUUGUAAACCGCUUUCAGUGGGGACGAAGUUUUUUGUGACGGUACCCACAGAAGAAGCACCGGCUAACUACGUGCCAGCAGCCGCGGUGAUACGUAGGGUGCGAGCGUUGUCCGGAUUUAUUGGGCGUAAAGAGCUUGUAGGCGGUUUGUCGCGUCGGGAGUGAAAACUCAGGGCUUAACUCUGAGCUUGCUUUCGAUACGGGCUGACUUGAGGAAGGUAGGGGAGAAUGGAAUUCCUGGUGAAGCGGUGGAAUGCGUAGAUAUCAGGAGGAACACCGGUGGCGAAGGCGGUUCUCUGGACCUUUCCUGACGCUGAGAAGCGAAAGCGUGGGGAGCAAACAGG